RNAcentral lists this ribosomal RNA (468 nucleotides) under uncultured bacterium. RNAcentral's name for it is "partial 16S ribosomal RNA". It matches the Rfam family "Bacterial small subunit ribosomal RNA", at positions 28 to 507 of the family's 1533-position model. The record is from RNAcentral.
GACGAACGCUGGCGGCGUGCUUAACACAUGCCAGUCGAACGGAAAGGCCCUGCUUUUGUGGGGUGCUCGAGUGGCGAACGGGUGAGUAACACGUGAGUAACCUGCCCUUGACUUUGGGAUAACUUCAGGAAACUGGGGCUAAUACCGGAUAGGAGCUCCUGCUGCAUGGUGGGGGUUGGAAAGUUUCGGCGGUUGGGGAUGGACUCGCGGCUUAUCAGCUUGUUGGUGGGGUAGUGGCUUACCAAGGCUUUGACGGGUAGCCGGCCUGAGAGGGUGACCGGCCACAUUGGGACUGAGAUACGGCCCAGACUCCUACGGGAGGCAGCAGUGGGGAAUAUUGCACAAUGGGAGGAAGCCUGAUGCAGCAACGCCGCGUGCGGGAUGACGGCCUUCGGGUUGUAAACCGCUUUCGCCUGUGACGAAGCGUGAGUGACGGUAAUGGGUAAAGAAGCACCGGCUAACUACGUG